ACCAACUGUACACUGACGCUCAUGCACGAAAGCGCGGGUAGCGAACAGGAUUAGAUACCCUGGUAGUCCGCGCGGUAAACGAUGAUUACUAAUUGUGUGUCUUAUGAGACACGUGACCAAGUGAAAGCGAUAAGUAAUCCACCUGGGGAGUACGGCGGCAACGCUGAAACUCAAAGGAAUUGACGGGGGCCCGCACAAGCGGAGGAACAUGUGGUUUAAUUCGAUGAUACGCGAGGAACCUUACCCGGGCUCAAACGUAUGAUGAGCGUUCAGAGAUGGACGGGCCUAGUAAUAGGAGUCAUACGAGGUGCUGCAUGGUUGUCGUCAGCUCGUGCCGUGAGGUGUCAGGUUAAGUCCUAUAACGAGCGCAACCCCUGUUGACAGUUACUAACGAGUCAAGUCGAGGACUCUGUCGAGACUGCCGCCGUAAGGUGCGAGGAAGGUGGGGAUGACGUCAAAUCAGCACGGCCCUUACGUCCGGGGCGACACACGUGUUACAAUGGGCGGUACAGAGAGUUGCUAUCCCGUGAGGGUGCGCUAAUCUUGAAAGCCGUUCUCAGUUCGGAUCGGAGUCUGGAACUCGACUCCGUGAAGCUGGAU
This 600-nucleotide ribosomal RNA is filed under the name uncultured bacterium. RNAcentral's name for it is "bacterial SSU rRNA". It matches the Rfam family "Bacterial small subunit ribosomal RNA", at positions 728 to 1331 of the family's 1533-position model. The record is from RNAcentral.